RNAcentral lists this ribosomal RNA (548 nucleotides) under Colobonema sericeum. RNAcentral describes it as "partial large subunit ribosomal RNA". It matches the Rfam family "Bacterial large subunit ribosomal RNA", at positions 1846 to 2568 of the family's 2925-position model. The record is from RNAcentral. Lineage: Eukaryota; Metazoa; Cnidaria; Hydrozoa; Trachymedusae; Rhopalonematidae.
UUUUUGAUGGGAUCUGGUCAGUGGAAAAAAAAUUUUUUUUUUAAACACACGCCUUAGCGUGAGGGUGAUAAUGUAGCAUAAUAAUUUGGCAUUUAAUUGAUGUCUGGUAGGAAUGGUGAAACGAUUUUAUAACUGUCUCAAUUUAUUAAAGAAUAAAAUUUAAAAUUAUAGUUAAGAUGCUAUAAAUUAUUAAAAGACGAGAAGACCCCAUAAACCUUUACUAUAAAAUUUUUAUAUUUAUUAUAAAAAUUUUAUAAUAACAAAAAAUAUUUUGGUAGUUUGGCUGGGGCGGCAAUCUUCUAAAAAUAAAAACGAAGAUAAAAUGUAAUAAAAAAAAAAAUUUUUUUUUUUAUUUUUUAGUUUAAAAGAAAAUUUUAACAGAAAUAAAAAUUUUAAUAAUGACCUUUUUUUUUUUCUUUAAAAAAUCAUUAAUUUAUAAAAGGUACUUUGGGGAUAACAGCGUUAUCUAAAAAUAGAGAUGAAAUUAAUUUUUAGGUUUGCGACCUCGAUGUUGAAUUAGGAUAACCUAAAAAUGUAGAAGUUUUAAA